RNAcentral lists this long non-coding RNA (758 nucleotides) under Homo sapiens (human). RNAcentral's name for it is "non-protein coding lnc-FOXL1-2:4". The record is from RNAcentral. Lineage: Eukaryota; Metazoa; Chordata; Mammalia; Primates; Hominidae.
AGUGACACAGCUACCAGCCAAAGAGCACCAAGGUUGGCUGGAGCCCCCAGCAGCGGGACAGAGGCGCAGAACAUAUGACCACAGGAGCACCUGGAAAGGACCAAACCCAGCAACAGUUGAAUUUGGACUUUUAGCCUCCAGAACCAUGAGAAAGUAAGACUCUGCUGGACUGUGGCACGCACCCGGAACACCCAUCCAGCCGCCCUGAAGGAUGCAGGCCUCUCCGCCUUUGGUUCUCCUGUGCCUCUUCAGGUAUGAGGGGUUCCAGCACCAGGCUGGCCCUGGCAGCCGGGAGCCAGAGGGGACCCUGCGCUUGCUAUUUGACUGGAUUCUCACGGCAGCUCUCAGAAAUCUGCACCAUGACUCCGAUUUGACUGAUGGAGACCCAGAUACCCAGAGAGAUUAAGCAGCUCCGGCCAGGCCAUGGCUUACAUUCCAGCUCCCUCUCACUGGGUGACAACUGGCUCCCUCUGUCCCCCACGUGGCCUUCUUCAGCUUGCUGCCUUUGCUGGGGAAGUGCCCACUCAGGACAGCUGAGGAGACGGAGCCACGGAGGUUGACAUAGGAGGUGAUGGAACAGCCAGUUUUCCUGCUGAGCCCAUCCGUAUAGACAGCCGGCAUGCAUUGAUGUGUCUCUCUCCCAGCUUCAACCCCUGUCUGCAGAGCUGGAGUCUCCGACUGUUCCCGCAUGUCCCUUCUCUGUUGUUACCUGCAGUCCAGACAAAAAUGGCAUAGUAAAAUAAAAGUUGAGAGAAUGC